This 281-nucleotide ribosomal RNA is filed under the name uncultured Dialister sp. Its description in RNAcentral is "partial 16S ribosomal RNA". It matches the Rfam family "Bacterial small subunit ribosomal RNA", at positions 75 to 339 of the family's 1533-position model. The record is from RNAcentral. Lineage: Bacteria; Bacillati; Bacillota; Negativicutes; Veillonellales; Veillonellaceae.
CUUGCACUUUGGCAGACUGAGUGGCGGACGGGUGAGUAACGCGUGGGUAACCUGCCUUCAGGAUGGGGACAACAGACGGAAACGACUGCUAAUACCGAAUAAGUUCCAAGAGCCGCAUGGCCCAUGGAAGAAAAGGUGGCCUCUACCUGUAAGCUAUCGCCUGAAGAGGGGUUUGCGUCUGAUUAGCUGGUUGGAGGGGUAACGGCCCACCAAGGCGACGAUCAGUAGCCGGCCUGAGAGGGUGAACGGCCACAUUGGGACUGAGACACGGCCCAAACUCC